AUUGAACGCUGGCGGCAUGCCUUACACAUGCAAGUCGAACGGCAGCACGGGUGCUUGCACCUGGUGGCGAGUGGCGAACGGGUGAGUAGUACAUCGGAACAUGUCCUGUAGUGGGGGAUAGCCCGGCGAAAGCCGGAUUAAUACCGCAUACGAUCUACGGAUGAAAGCGGGGGACCUUCGGGCCUCGCGCUAUAGGGUUGGCCGAUGGCUGAUUAGCUAGUUGGUGGGGUAAAGGCCUACCAAGGCGACGAUCAGUAGCUGGUCUGAGAGGACGACCAGCCACACUGGGACUGAGACACGGCCCAGACUCCUACGGGAGGCAGCAGUGGGGAAUUUUGGACAAUGGGCGAAAGCCUGAUCCAGCAAUGCCGCGUGUGUGAAGAAGGCCUUCGGGUUGUAAAGCACUUUUGUCCGGAAAGAAAUCCUUGGCUCUAAUACAGUCGGGGGAUGACGGUACCGGAAGAAUAAGCACCGGCUAACUACGUG
Molecule: ribosomal RNA, 486 nt
Filed under: uncultured bacterium
Lineage: Bacteria
Description: partial 16S ribosomal RNA
Rfam family: Bacterial small subunit ribosomal RNA
Source: RNAcentral